This 267-nucleotide long non-coding RNA is filed under the name Mytilus galloprovincialis (Mediterranean mussel). The record is from RNAcentral. Lineage: Eukaryota; Metazoa; Mollusca; Bivalvia; Mytilida; Mytilidae.
AUAUCAAUCUACGGGAACUAUCACGUCUUAAUAAUUCCUUCCUUGAAACUGUGGGAACUUUUAAAAAUCAAUCGAACAAUGAAACCAACAUUUAUGGUGAAGAGAUGCACACCAUGUUAGAAUCUCUUUCUUCGAAAACAAAGGAAUUCAUCGUUGCUGAAGAUAAAAGGAAAAGUGCUCAUGAAUUAAUGCAGUACACUAUACAUCAAGAACAAAAACGAUUCAACCAAUCAUUUGACCGUUUUUUGGGAAAACACAAAACACGCC